This 94-nucleotide transfer RNA is filed under the name Lasiosphaeris hirsuta. RNAcentral describes it as "tRNA-Ile". Lineage: Eukaryota; Fungi; Ascomycota; Sordariomycetes; Sordariales; Lasiosphaeriaceae. The record is from RNAcentral.
GCCCGAUUAGCUCAGCUGGUUAGAGCGUCGUACUAAUAUAUCUCUGAUAUAAUUGGUAAUGCGAAGGUCAACAGUUCAAUCCUGUUAUUGGGCA